AUUAUAUAUAUAAUAUAAGUCGCAAACAUAUCAGAACUUCUUUCUUGGCUCAAUGGUAUGUGCUGAUGGACGAAUUGAAUGUGCUGAGUUCGAUUCCUGGCGUGUUGCUAUUUUGAUGUUUUUUUUUUAAAUUAUUUGUAUUAAAAAAGGGUGUUGCUGGGAAUCGAACUAGUAACAACAAGGUAAAACGCAGUCACCCAAACCACUUAUCUAUAGCAUUUAAGGUAUCAAUGUUUUACUUUGUUAAUAUAUAUAGUUGCUUUGAAAGUUUUGC
RNAcentral lists this long non-coding RNA (274 nucleotides) under Medicago truncatula (barrel medic). Its description in RNAcentral is "long non-coding RNA (MTRU_LNC003354)". Lineage: Eukaryota; Viridiplantae; Streptophyta; Magnoliopsida; Fabales; Fabaceae. The record is from RNAcentral.